RNAcentral lists this ribosomal RNA (1460 nucleotides) under uncultured organism. RNAcentral describes it as "16S ribosomal RNA". It matches the Rfam family "Bacterial small subunit ribosomal RNA". The record is from RNAcentral.
GGCGUGCCUAAUACAUGCAAGUAGAACGCUGAAGAGAGGAGCUUGCUCUUCUUGGAUGAGUUGCGAACGGGUGAGUAACGCGUAGGUAACCUGCCUUGUAGCGGGGGAUAACUAUUGGAAACGAUAGCUAAUACCGCAUAACAAUGGAUGACCCAUGUCAUUUAUUUGAAAGGGGCAAAUGCUCCACUACAAGAUGGACCUGCGUUGUAUUAGCUAGUAGGUGAGGUAACGGCUCACCUAGGCGACGAUACAUAGCCGACCUGAGAGGGUGAUCGGCCACACUGGGACUGAGACACGGCCCAGACUCCUACGGGAGGCAGCAGUAGGGAAUCUUCGGCAAUGGGGGCAACCCUGACCGAGCAACGCCGCGUGAGUGAAGAAGGUUUUCGGAUCGUAAAGCUCUGUUGUAAGUCAAGAACGAGUGUGAGAGUGGAAAGUUCACACUGUGACGGUAGCUUACCAGAAAGGGACGGCUAACUACGUGCCAGCAGCCGCGGUAAUACGUAGGUCCCGAGCGUUGUCCGGAUUUAUUGGGCGUAAAGCGAGCGCAGGCGGUUUGAUAAGUCUGAAGUUAAAGGCUGUGGCUCAACCAUAGUUCGCUUUGGAAACUGUCAAACUUGAGUGCAGAAGGGGAGAGUGGAAUUCCAUGUGUAGCGGUGAAAUGCGUAGAUAUAUGGAGGAACACCGGUGGCGAAAGCGGCUCUCUGGUCUGUAACUGACGCUGAGGCUCGAAAGCGUGGGGAGCGAACAGGAUUAGAUACCCUGGUAGUCCACGCCGUAAACGAUGAGUGCUAGGUGUUGGAUCCUUUCCGGGAUUCAGUGCCGCAGCUAACGCAUUAAGCACUCCGCCUGGGGAGUACGACCGCAAGGUUGAAACUCAAAGGAAUUGACGGGGGCCCGCACAAGCGGUGGAGCAUGUGGUUUAAUUCGAAGCAACGCGAAGAACCUUACCAGGUCUUGACAUCCCGAUGCUAUUUCUAGAGAUAGAAAGUUACUUCGGUACAUCGGUGACAGGUGGUGCAUGGUUGUCGUCAGCUCGUGUCGUGAGAUGUUGGGUUAAGUCCCGCAACGAGCGCAACCCCUAUUGUUAGUUGCCAUCAUUCAGUUGGGCACUCUAGCGAGACUGCCGGUAAUAAACCGGAGGAAGGUGGGGAUGACGUCAAAUCAUCAUGCCCCUUAUGACCUGGGCUACACACGUGCUACAAUGGUUGGUACAACGAGUUGCGAGUCGGUGACGGCAAGCUAAUCUCUUAAAGCCAAUCUCAGUUCGGAUUGUAGGCUGCAACUCGCCUACAUGAAGUCGGAAUCGCUAGUAAUCGCGGAUCAGCACGCCGCGGUGAAUACGUUCCCGGGCCUUGUACACACCGCCCGUCACACCACGAGAGUUUGUAACACCCGAAGUCGGUGAGGUAACCUUUUGGAGCCAGCCGCCUAAGGUGGGAUAGAUGAUUGGGGUGAAG